AGUUGCCAGCAUUCAGUUGGGCACUUUAAGGUGACUGCCGGUGACAAACCGGAGGAAGGUGGGGAUGACGUCAAAUCAUCAUGCCCCUUAUGACCUGGGCUACACACGUGCUACAAUGGACAGAACAAAGGGCAGCGAAACCGCGAGGUUAAGCCAAUCCCACAAAUCUGUUCUCAGUUCGGAUCGCAGUCUGCAACUCGACUGCGUGAAGCUGGAAUCGCUAGUAAUCGCGGAUCAGCAUGCCGCGGUGAAUACGUUCCCGGGCCUUGUACACACCGCCCGUCACACCACGAGAGUUUGUAACACCCGAAGUCGGUGAGGUAACCUUUUAGGAGCCAGCCGCCGAAGGUGGGACAGAUGAUUGGGGUGAAGUCGUAACA
This 380-nucleotide ribosomal RNA is filed under the name Bacillus subtilis. Its description in RNAcentral is "bacterial SSU rRNA". It matches the Rfam family "Bacterial small subunit ribosomal RNA", at positions 1113 to 1493 of the family's 1533-position model. Lineage: Bacteria; Bacillati; Bacillota; Bacilli; Caryophanales; Bacillaceae. The record is from RNAcentral.